UGGGGAAUUUUGGACAAUGGGCGAAAGCCUGAUCCAGCAAUGCCGCGUGUGUGAAGAAGGCCUUCGGGUUGUAAAGCACUUUUGUCCGGAAAGAAAUCCUUGGCUCUAAUACAGUCGGGGGAUGACGGUACCGGAAGAAUAAGCACCGGCUAACUACGUGCCAGCAGCCGCGGUAAUACGUAGGGUGCAAGCGUUAAUCAGAAUUACUGGGCGUAAAGCGUGCGCAGGCGGUUUGCUAAGACCGAUGUGAAAUCCCCGGGCUCAACCUGGGAACUGCAUUGGUGACUGGCAGGCUAGAGUAUGGCAGAGGGGGGUAGAAUUCCACGUGUAGCAGUGAAAUGCGUAGAGAUGUGGAGGAAUACCGAUGGCGAAGGCAGCCCCCUGGGCCAAUACUGACGCUCAUGCACGAAAGCGUGGGGAGCAAACAGGAUUAGAUACCCUGGUAGUCCACGCCCUAAACGAUGUCAACUAGUUGUUGGGGAUUCAUUUCCUUAGUAACGUAGCUAACGCGUGAAGUUGACCGCCUGGGGGAGUACGGUCGCAAGAUUAAAACUCAAAUGAAUUGACGGGGUCAUAGCUGUUUCCU
RNAcentral lists this ribosomal RNA (586 nucleotides) under uncultured bacterium. RNAcentral's name for it is "partial 16S ribosomal RNA". It matches the Rfam family "Bacterial small subunit ribosomal RNA", at positions 355 to 1375 of the family's 1533-position model. The record is from RNAcentral.